AUGGCAAAGCUCACUGAUAUGACCAAUGGUGAGUACUCUAGAGUGUUUGACUACCACCUAGAAUUAGUUAGAAGCAAUCCAGGGAGCACUGUAGCUGUUUGUUUAGAUCCAGACAUUCAUGACAAGCCAGUCUUUCAGAGAAUGUAUGUGUGCCUUGAGGUUUGCAAAAAAGGGUUUCUAGCUGGAUGCAGAAGAGUGGUGGGAUUAGAUGGCUGCUUUCUGAAAGGGGCAGUAAGAGGGCAAUUUUUGUCUACUAUUGGCAGAGAUGCUAAUAAUCAGAUGUACCCACUUGCUUGGGCCACAGUUGAGGUUGAAAGCUAUGAGUCAUGGUAUUGGUUUCUCUCACUUCUCCAAAAGGACCUGCAGAUAAGCAAUCAUGGUGAUGGAUGGGUUUUCUUAUUUGAUCAACAGAAGGGUCUUAUCAUGUCUGUUAAUGAAAUUAUUCCUGAAGCAGAGCACAGAAUGUGUGCCAGACAUAUAUAUGCAAAUUGGAGGAAGCAACAUACGGAGAAGAAAUUGCAGAAAAUGUUUUGGGCAUGUGCCAAGUCCUCUGAUAGGAGUCAGUUCAACUACAACAAAGCCAAAUUAGCACAGAAAAGUCCAGAAGGAGCUAGAGAUAUUAUGAACACUGCACCAGAACACUGGAGUAGAGCAUACUUCAAACUAGGCUCAUGGUGUGAUUCAGUUGAGAAUAAUAUGUGUGAAUCAUUCAACAAUGCAAUUAUGAGGUCAAGGUUUUACCCUGUCAUCACAUCACAUGAGAUCAUUAGAAAGAAGGUGAUGGCAAGGAUA
RNAcentral lists this ribosomal RNA (792 nucleotides) under Triticum aestivum (bread wheat). RNAcentral's name for it is "partial small subunit ribosomal RNA". The record is from RNAcentral. Lineage: Eukaryota; Viridiplantae; Streptophyta; Magnoliopsida; Poales; Poaceae.